CUCUUAUCAAGAGCGGCGGAGGGACUGGCCCGAUGAAGCCCGGCAACCGGCAGAAAUGCAAGGUGCUAAAUCCAGCAAAGCAGUGUGCUUUGGAAGAUGAGAG
This 103-nucleotide non-coding RNA is filed under the name Aneurinibacillus migulanus. RNAcentral's name for it is "SAM-I sequence". It matches the Rfam family "SAM riboswitch aptamer (S box leader)". From Rfam's summary of the family: The SAM riboswitch is found upstream of a number of genes which code for proteins involved in methionine or cysteine biosynthesis in Gram-positive bacteria. The SAM riboswitch acts at the level of transcription termination control. The record is from Rfam by way of RNAcentral. Lineage: Bacteria; Bacillati; Bacillota; Bacilli; Caryophanales; Paenibacillaceae.